UUCAGACACUGUUUCUGGCCUGAAAAACAAAACACUCGUGAAACAGCCAAGGGUCCCAAUCUGCUCAGGGAACAUGUUGUCCUCUCCUGUUUGCAGGGCCAUUUCUUGGACAAGCAGCAGCUCUGUUUGCUGGACUUUUGGCCCCAUGCAGUCACUGUGAGGCAAGGCACAUCUCACACAAACGGGCCAGUGAAAUGAGGAGAAAAGAAAAGGAGAAUGGAAUCCAAAACUCUGGAGGACAUUUCUGGCUGAAAAUUUGAAGGGCCAUGUUUUACAGUGAGGUUGGAGAUCAUUGGGGAUCUUCAUGGAAGAGCAUACAUUUGAGCUGAAGAUGUAAACAAGCAUAGUUUGAGCAUGGAAACAAGGAGGAUUCCAGCAAAGGAAACUCAAAAGAAUAGUGACAGAAAACAAAGGCAGUCAUUUGGUUCAGGUGCAAGUGACCAGGUAAAGGAUUUCAGGGCAUAAAUUUGGCAGAGCAAACCAUGGGAAGUUUGAAGGACCUGGAAUCUCAAACCUGGGAGUUUAUAAUCUCUUCUAUAGUUGCUUGGAAAGGAUGGACUAAUUUUGAUUGAGACUUGACCAGAACUGGGAUAUAAAAAGAUUCAUCUGGCAAAGUAUAGCAUGAAAUUAAGACAGAAAAAACAAGAGGUGGACCUAAACAUAAGACCUGAAUCUAUAAAAAUCCUAAAAGAAAACAUAGAGAAUACUCUUCUGGACAUUGGCCUUGGCAAAAAAAAAAAAAUUAUAACCAAGUUCUCAAAAGCAAACACAACAAAACCAAAAAUAGACAAAUGGGACUUAAUUAAAUGAAAGAGCUUCUGCACAGCAAAAGAAACAAUCAACAAAGUAAAUAGACAUUUCACAGAAUGGGAAAAAAUAUUUGCAAACUAUACACCCAGUGAAGGGCUAAUAUCCAGAAUCUACAAGGAAUUCAAACAAUUCGACAAGAAAAGAACAAAUAACUCUAUUAAAAAGUGGGCAAAGGACAUGAACAGACAUUUUCAAAACAAGACAUACAAGCGGCAAACCAGCAUAAGAAAACAUACUCAACAUCAUUAAUCAUCAGAGAAAUGCAAAUUAAAACCACAAUGAGAUACCAGCUUGCACCAGUCAGAAUGACUUAAUAAAAAGUCUAAAAACCACAGAUAUUAGCAAGCAUACAAAGGCAAGGGAAUGCUUAUACAUUGUUGGUGGGAAUGUAAAGUAGUACAGCCUUUAUGGAAAACAGUAUAGAGAUUUCUCAAAGAGCUAAAAUAGAACUACCAUUCAAUCUAGCAAUCCCAGUACUGGGUAUAUGACUAAAGGGAAAUAAAUCAUUACAUAAAAAAGACACCUGCAUUUGUCUGUUUAUUGCAGCACUAUUUACAAUAGCAAAGAUAUGGAAUCAACAGCUUAAGUGUCCAUCAGGAGAGGACUGAAUAAUGAAAAUGUGGUAUAUGUACCAUGGGAUACUGCUCAGACAUAGAAAAGAAAGAAAGCAUAUCUUUUGCAGCAACAUAGUUGGAAUUUGAGGCCAUUAUCCUCAGUUAAAUAACUCAGAAACAGAAAGUCAAAUACCACAUGUUCUCACUUAUAAGUGGGAGCUAAACAGUGGGUACACAUGGACAUAUAGAGUGGAAUAAUAGACAUUGAAGUAUACAAAAGGGAGGAAGAUGGGAAAGGGAUGAGGGUUGAAAAACUACCUUUAGGGUAUAAUAUUCACUAUACAGAUGAUGGGUACACUAAAAACCCAGACUUUCUUUUUUAUUAUUUAUUAUUUAUUUUUUAUUAUUAUUAUACUUUUAAGUUUUAGGGUACAUGUGCACAACGUGCAGGUUUGUUACAUAUGUAUACAUGUGCCAUGUUGGUGUGCUGCACCCAUUAAGUCAUCAUUUAGCAUUAGGUAUAUCUCCUAAUGCUAUCCCUCCCCCCUCCCCCCACCCCACAACAGUCCCCGGUGUGUGAUGUUCCUCUUCCUGUGUCCAUGUGUUCUCAUUGUUCAAUUCCCACCUAUGAGUGAGAACAUCCGGUGUUUGGUUUUUUAACCUUGUGAUAGUUUGCUGAGAAUGAUGGUUUCCAGUUUCAUCCAUGUCCUUAAAAAGGACAUGAAC
Molecule: long non-coding RNA, 2090 nt
Filed under: Homo sapiens (human)
Lineage: Eukaryota; Metazoa; Chordata; Mammalia; Primates; Hominidae
Description: HSALNT0354573
Source: RNAcentral